Molecule: ribosomal RNA, 2894 nt
Filed under: Acinetobacter baumannii
Lineage: Bacteria; Pseudomonadati; Pseudomonadota; Gammaproteobacteria; Moraxellales; Moraxellaceae
Description: 23S ribosomal RNA
Rfam family: Bacterial large subunit ribosomal RNA
Source: RNAcentral
AGUCAAGUAAUUAAGUGCAUGUGGUGGAUGCCUUGGCAGUCAGAGGCGAUGAAAGACGUGAUAGCCUGCGAAAAGCUCCGGGGAGGCGGCAAAUAUCCUUUGAUCCGGAGAUGUCUGAAUGGGGGAACCCACCUACUUUAAGGUAGGUAUUGCAACAUGAAUACAUAGUGUUGCAAGGCGAACGAGGGGAAGUGAAACAUCUCAGUACCCUUAGGAAAAGAAAUCAAUUGAGAUUCCCUCAGUAGCGGCGAGCGAACGGGGAUCAGCCCAUUAAGUUAUGUGUGUUUUAGUGGAACGCUCUGGGAAGUGCGAACGUAGAGGGUGAUAUUCCCGUACACGAAAGGGCACACAUAAUGAUGACGAGUAGGGCGAGGCACGUGAAACCUUGUCUGAAUAUGGGGGGACCAUCCUCCAAGGCUAAAUACUCCUGACUGACCGAUAGUGAACCAGUACCGUGAGGGAAAGGCGAAAAGAACCCCCCUGUGAGGGGAGUGAAAUAGAUCCUGAAACCGCAUGCAUACAAGCAGUGGGAGCACCUUCGUGGUGUGACUGCGUACCUUUUGUAUAAUGGGUCAGCGACUUAUAUUCAGUAGCGAGGUUAACCGUAUAGGGGAGCCGUAGAGAAAUCGAGUCUUAAUAGGGCGUUUAGUUGCUGGGUAUAGACCCGAAACCAGGCGAUCUAUCCAUGAGCAGGUUGAAGGUUGGGUAACACUAACUGGAGGACCGAACCCACUGUCGUUGAAAAGCCAGGGGAUGACUUGUGGAUAGGGGUGAAAGGCUAAUCAAGCCUGGUGAUAGCUGGUUCUCCCCGAAAGCUAUUUAGGUAGCGCCUCGGACGAAUACCAUAGGGGGUAGAGCACUGUUUCGGCUAGGGGGUCAUCCCGACUUACCAAACCGAUGCAAACUCCGAAUACCUAUGAGUACUAUCCGGGAGACAGACUGCGGGUGCUAACGUCCGUAGUCAAGAGGAAAACAAUCCAGACCGCCAGCUAAGGCCCCAAAAUCAUAGUUAAGUGGGAAACGAUGUGGGAAGGCAUAGACAGCUAGGAGGUUGGCUUAGAAGCAGCCACCCUUUAAAGAAAGCGUAAUAGCUCACUAGUCGAGUCGGCCUGCGCGGAAGAUGUAACGGGGCUAAAACUAUGUGCCGAAGCUGCGGAUGUAUACUUUGUAUACGUGGUAGGGGAGCGUUCUGUAAGCCGAUGAAGGUGUGUUGAGAAGCAUGCUGGAGGUAUCAGAAGUGCGAAUGCUGACGUGAGUAACGACAAAACGGGUGAAAAACCCGUUCGCCGAAAGACCAAGGGUUCCAGUCCAACGUUAAUCGGGGCUGGGUGAGUCGACCCCUAAGGCGAGGCCGAAAGGCGUAGUCGAUGGGAAAAUGGUUAAUAUUCCAUUACUUCUGUGUAAUGCGAUGAGAGGACGGAGAAGGCUAAAUCAGCCUGGCGUUGGUUGUCCAGGUGAAAGGAUGUAGGCAUGUAUCUUAGGCAAAUCCGGGGUACUCUAUGCUGAGAUCUGAUAGCAAGCUGUACUUGUACAGCGAAGUGGUUGAUGCCAUGCUUCCAGGAAAAGUCUCUAAGCUUCAGUUACACAGGAAUCGUACCCGAAACCGACACAGGUGGUCAGGUCGAGUAGACCAAGGCGCUUGAGAGAACUCUGCUGAAGGAACUAGGCAAAAUGGUACCGUAACUUCGGGAGAAGGUACGCUGUUGUUGGUGAUGGAACUCGCUUCCUGAGCUGACGACAGCCGCAGAAACCAGGCCGCUGCAACUGUUUAUUAAAAACAUAGCACUCUGCAAACACGAAAGUGGACGUAUAGGGUGUGAUGCCUGCCCGGUGCUGGAAGGUUAAUUGAUGGGGUUAGCGUAAGCGAAGCUCUUGAUCGAAGCCCCAGUAAACGGCGGCCGUAACUAUAACGGUCCUAAGGUAGCGAAAUUCCUUGUCGGGUAAGUUCCGACCUGCACGAAUGGCAUAAUGAUGGCGGCGCUGUCUCCAGCAGAGGCUCAGUGAAAUCGAAAUCGCUGUGAAGAUGCAGUGUACCCGCGGCUAGACGGAAAGACCCCGUGAACCUUUACUGCAGCUUGACACUGAACUUUGACCUUACUUGUGUAGGAUAGGUGGAGGCUUUGAAGCUGGAACGCUAGUUCCAGUGGAGCCGUCCUUGAAAUACCACCCUGGUAAUGUUGAGGUUCUAACUCUGUCCCGUGAUCCGGGACGAGGACCGUGUCUGGUGGGUAGUUUGACUGGGGCGGUCUCCUCCUAAAGAGUAACGGAGGAGUACGAAGGUGCGCUCAGCGUGGUCGGAAAUCACGCGUAGAGUAUAAAGGCAAAAGCGCGCUUAACUGCGAGACCCACAAGUCGAGCAGGUACGAAAGUAGGUCUUAGUGAUCCGGUGGUUCUGUAUGGAAGGGCCAUCGCUCAACGGAUAAAAGGUACUCUGGGGAUAACAGGCUGAUACCGCCCAAGAGUUCAUAUCGACGGCGGUGUUUGGCACCUCGAUGUCGGCUCAUCUCAUCCUGGGGCUGAAGCAGGUCCCAAGGGUAUGGCUGUUCGCCAUUUAAAGAGGUACGCGAGCUGGGUUUAGAACGUCGUGAGACAGUUCGGUCCCUAUCUACCGUGGGCGCUGGAAAUUUGAGAGGAUCUGCUCCUAGUACGAGAGGACCAGAGUGGACGAACCUCUGGUGUACCGGUUGUGACGCCAGUCGCAUCGCCGGGUAGCUAUGUUCGGAAGGGAUAACCGCUGAAAGCAUCUAAGCGGGAAGCCUACCUCAAGAUAAGAUUUCCCUAGGACUUUAUGUCCUCUAAAGAGCCGUUCGAGACUAGGACGUUGAUAGGUUGGAUGUGGAAGCAUAGUGAUAUGUGAAGCUGACCAAUACUAAUUGCUCGUGAGGCUUGACUAU